This 1840-nucleotide ribosomal RNA is filed under the name Nitrospirae bacterium 13_2_20CM_2_62_8. RNAcentral describes it as "bacterial LSU rRNA". It matches the Rfam family "Bacterial large subunit ribosomal RNA", at positions 1 to 1780 of the family's 2925-position model. Lineage: Bacteria; Pseudomonadati; Nitrospirota. The record is from RNAcentral.
UGUGUUGUUAAGCUACUAAGGGUGUACGGUGGAUGCCCUGGCAUCAGGAGGCGAUGAAGGGCGUAGCUAGCUGCGAUAAGCCCCGGGGAGCCGCAAGCAGGCCGUGAUCCGGGGAUGCCCGAAUGGGGAAACCCAGGCGAUGAAUGCCGCCUAUCCUCCGCGGAAUCCAUACGCGGAGCGAAGCCCACGCAGGGAAGUGAAACAUCUCAGUACCUGCAGGAAAAGAAAGCAACCGCGAUUCCCCCAGUAGUGGCGAGCGAAAAGGGAAUAGCCUAAACCCUACAUAUGCCAAGUCCGUAUGCGUUGUAUGUGGGGGGUCGAAGGCCUUUGCCGGAUAGCGAUACGGCGCUGUCGGCGAGUCACAAACCAGGAUCUUAGCUGAACGGUCUGGAAAGGCCGGCCGCAGCGGGUGACAGCCCCGUAAGCGAAAAGACCCUGGCUCGCUUGGCGAAGGUCCUGAGUACCACGGGGCCCGAGAAACCCAGUGGGAAUCUGGGAGGACCACCUUCCAAGGCUCAAUACUACCUGAUGACCGAUAGCGCACCAGUACCGCGAGGGAAAGGUGAAAAGAACCCCGGUGAGGGGAGUGAAAUAGAACCUGAAACCGUACACCUACAAGCAACGAGAGGGCUAUGGCCCGCAAGGGCAAUGCCUGAUCGUGUGCCUUUUGCUUAAUGAGCCGGCGAGUUAUUCUGCGCAGCGAGGUUAAGCCGGAGAGGCGGAGCCGUAGCGAAAGCGAGUCCGAAACGGGCGUUUAGUUGCGUAGAAUAGACCCGAAGCGAGGUGAUCUACCCAUGGCCAGGAUGAAUCCGCCGUAACAGGCGGAGGAGGUCCGAACCGGUGUUUGUUGCAAAAAGCUCGGAUGAGCUGUGGGUAGGAGUGAAAGGCUAAUCAAACCUCGUGAUUGCUGGUUCUCCCCGAAAUAGCUCUAGGGCUAGCCUCGUCUCAGCCGUAGCGGAGGUAGAGCACUGGAUGAGCUAGGGGCGUUCCAACGCUACCGAACUCAACCAAACUCCGAAUGCCGCUACUGGACGGACGGGAGUCAGACUACGGGCGCUAAGGUCCGUGGUCAAAAGGAGAAUAGUCCAGACCGCCAGCUAAGGUCCCGAAUCGUGAGCUAAGUGGAAAAGGUUGUAGGGUCGCUCAGACAGCCAGGAGGUUGGCUUAGAAGCAGCCACCCUUUAAAGAGUGCGUAACAGCUCACUGGUCGAGCGAGCCUGCGCCGAAAAUUUAACGGGGCUUAAGUUCACAACCGAAGCUGCGGACUUGCGCUGCAAGGCGUGAGUGGUAGGGGAGCAUUCUCUAGGCGGUGAAGGUCGACCGACAAGGACGACUGGAGCGUAGAGAAGAGAUUAUGCCGGCAUAAGUAGCGAUAAACGAUGUGAGAAUCAUCGUCCCCGUAAGCCUAAGGUUUCCUGGCCUAUGUUCGUCAGGUCAGGGUUAGUCGGUCCCUAAGCCGAGGCCGAAAGGCGUAGGCAAUGGAAAACAGGUCAACAUUCCUGUACCACCGCGUGGACGUUAUCAGCGAAGGGGGGACGCAGGAGGGUAGGUACCGCCGGGUCCCUGGAAUACCCGGUCCAAGCACGUAGGCGGGGCUCGUAGGCAAAUCCGCGGGCCCGUUACCGCCGAGAUGUGAUGGGGAGGCCGCAAGGCCGCAAACGGACUGAUCCCACACUGCCGAGAAAAGCCUCGUAGCGAGUUCGCGUGGUGACCGUACCGCAAACCGACACAGGUAGGCGGGUGGAAUACACCAAGGGGCGUGAGAGAACACUCCCUAAGGAACUCUGCCAUCUAGCCCCGUAACUUCGGAAGAAGGGGUGCCUCGAGUAGGUGAGGCCGU